Synchiropus splendidus (mandarinfish) is the source of this 418-nucleotide long non-coding RNA. RefSeq lists it as uncharacterized. The record is from RefSeq and is a predicted model, not a curated record. The transcript has 3 exons. NCBI's taxonomy places the organism in Eukaryota, Metazoa, Chordata, Actinopteri, Syngnathiformes, Callionymidae.
CUUCGGUGGGCUUUGGAUUUAUUAGCGACUAUUUUACCUGCCAGUUGAAGCCCUGCACACCGAUUUUGUAGAUUAAGAUCUAUCCUUUGUAGUGUUUGCAGCAUGUUGAGCCACUUGCCUGACUUCACCCGACUCCUUGGGCCGCAGCUACAGCAGGCGGACACACAACAACAGACAAUCCAGUCACCAAUAAACUCUGUAUGUUUUUGGAAUACUGGAGGAAGUGACCAGAGGAAACACAAGUACACGGAGAACAUACAGGCUACGUUCACGCUAGAAACAAGGCUUCUCCCUUCAGGGUUGGCCACAGUGGAUCAUCUUCCUCCAUCUCACCCUGUCCUCUGCUUCCUCUUCUCUCAAACCUACAAACCUCAUGUCCUCCUUCACCACCUCCAUCAAUCUCCUCUUUGGCCUCCCU